Molecule: long non-coding RNA, 253 nt
Filed under: Mytilus galloprovincialis (Mediterranean mussel)
Lineage: Eukaryota; Metazoa; Mollusca; Bivalvia; Mytilida; Mytilidae
Source: RNAcentral
GUAAGGGACGACAUCAAAAGAUCGAUGUAGGAUAAAAAACUUAAAUCAAAUAGUUUGGGGGUGGGGGUGGGGGGGGGGUUAAAAUUCUGCAAGUUUUGUAUAUCUAAAAUCGAUUUUUACAUAUAUCCCUAUUGGUAAAUCAAUUUUUCCCAAAUUAAGUUAAGAGGGGGUGGGGAUGUCAGUGAAAAAACUAUGUGAAUUAAGUUUUUUUAUCCUACAUUGAACUUUUGAUGUCGUCCCUAAUGGUCUGUUU